GCGCAAGUAAAAGCGGGUAAAUAUAUGCUUUCAGCUUCCCAAGCUGGACGUCGUGGGUUCGAGUCCCAUCGCCCGCUCCA
This 80-nucleotide transfer RNA is filed under the name Deltaproteobacteria bacterium RBG_13_49_15. RNAcentral's name for it is "tRNA-Gly". The record is from RNAcentral. Lineage: Bacteria; Deltaproteobacteria.